This 423-nucleotide ribosomal RNA is filed under the name uncultured bacterium. Its description in RNAcentral is "bacterial SSU rRNA". It matches the Rfam family "Bacterial small subunit ribosomal RNA", at positions 207 to 622 of the family's 1533-position model. The record is from RNAcentral.
AAGACCUUGCGCUUUUGGAGCGGCCGAUGUCUGAUUAGCUUGUUGGUGAGGUAAAGGCUUACCAAGGCUUCGAUCAGUAGCUGGUCUGAGAGGACGGCCAGCCACACUGGGACUGAGACACGGCCCAGACUCCUACGGGAGGCAGCAGUGGGGAAUUUUGGACAAUGGGGGCAACCCUGAUCCAGCCAUGCCGCGUGAGUGAAGAAGGCCUUCGGGUUGUAAAGCUCUUUCAGCCGGAACGAAACGGUUACGGUUAAUACCCGUGACUACUGACGGUACCGGAAGAAGAAGCACCGGCUAACUACGUGCCGGCAGCCGCGGUAAUACGUAGGGUGCAAGCGUUAAUCGGAAUUACUGGGCGUAAAGCGUGCGCAGGUGGUUUUGUAAGUCAGAUGUGAAAUCCCCGGGCUUAACCUGGGAACU